RNAcentral lists this ribosomal RNA (253 nucleotides) under uncultured bacterium. Its description in RNAcentral is "partial 16S ribosomal RNA". It matches the Rfam family "Bacterial small subunit ribosomal RNA", at positions 524 to 776 of the family's 1533-position model. The record is from RNAcentral.
UACGUAGGGGGCAAGCGUUGUCCGGAAUCAUUGGGCGUAAAGAGCUCGUAGGCGGUUCGUCGCGUCGGCUGUGGAAACCUGAGGCUCAACCUCAGGCCUGCAGUCGAUACGGGCGGACUUGAGUACUGCAGGGGAGACUGGAAUUCCUGGUGUAGCGGUGAAAUGCGCAGAUAUCAGGAGGAACACCGGUGGCGAAGGCGGGUCUCUGGGCAGUAACUGACGCUGAGGAGCGAAAGCGUGGGGAGCGAACAGG